Non-coding RNA from Microcebus murinus (gray mouse lemur), 739 nucleotides. The record is from RefSeq and is a predicted model, not a curated record. Lineage: Eukaryota; Metazoa; Chordata; Mammalia; Primates; Cheirogaleidae.
GCUGACAUGCUGAUCCUCAUCUGUCUUUCUCCUGCAUCUGCCAAUUGAUUCUGCACUUGAGAGGGGAAUGAGUAUAUUUAUUUACUGGGUUUCCCUCAAAUGCCAACAGAUAAGUUGAUUCCACAACAAUCAACUGGCAUUUGGGCUGCACAGCAUCGUUGGGACAUUAUAGUUAGUUUCAGCCUCUAUUAAAACAUCAAUUGUUUGGGGGAAGAAGGUCCAGUUCCUGGGCUGUAAGACUGGAGGUCAGGUCCAUGGACAGGGUGAGGUCAUCAGGAUGACGUCACAAAGGCAUUGGAACUCCUGUUUCCUCUCAUGUGACCUCUUGUCACACUUCCGCAAACAAUACCUGCCCUACAGGUAUGCUGGGGAAUAAACAUGCCUGGGACACCAGCGAGCAUCCUAGGAAUGUGGGCCCCUGCCCUGGUCUCUAAAGGAAGGGGCAAAAGCUGAGAACCACACUUAAAAGCGAACUGUUUCAGUGGUUGUGCGCCACCCGUGGCAGUCUGCACGGCGUCAUCAGACCCUUGUGGCCUUGCCAGUUGCCCCAUCCCUGACACUCACUGUGGCAGCAGCUGAGAUGGCUCCCAGCGCUUCCUGCCCCUGAUGUUCACACCCUGGGUGACACCCUCCCCUCGAGUGUGGGCUGCACCCGGUGACUCGCUUCUAAUGAAUGGAACAGGGCCAAAGCGAUGGGAUGUCACUUCUGAUAUUAGUGUAUAAAAGACUGAGAUUUCUC